UGGGGGAUAUUGCACAAUGGAGGAAACUCUGAUGCAGCGACGCCGCGUGAGGGAAGACGGUCUUCGGAUUGUAAACCUCUGUCUUUAGGGACGAAAAAAUGACGGUACCUAAGGAGGAAGCCACGGCUAACUACGUGCCAGCAGCCGCGGUAAAACGUAGGUCACAAGCGUUGUCCGGAAUUACUGGGUGUAAAGGGAGCGCAGGCGGGAGAACAAGUUGGAAGUGAAAUCCAUGGGCUCAACCCAUGAACUGCUUUCAAAACUGUUUUUCUUGAGUAGUGCAGAGGUAGGCGGAAUUCCCGGUGUAGCGGUGGAAUGCGUAGAUAUCGGGAGGAACACCAGUGGCGAAGGCGGCCUACUGGGCACCAACUGACGCUGAGGCUCGAAAGUGUGGGUAGCAAACAGGAUUAGAUACCCUGGUAGUCCACACUGUAAACGAUGAUUACUAGGUGUUGGAGGAUUGACCCCUUCAGUGCCGCAGUUAACACAAUAAGUAAUCCACCUGGGGAGUACGACCGCAAGGUUGAAACUCAAAGGAAUUGACGGGGGCCCGCACAAGCAGUGGAGUAUGUGGUUUAAUUCGACGCAACGCGAAGAACCUUACCAAGUCUUGACAUCCCUUGACGAUGCUGGAAACAGCAUUUCUCUUCGGAGCAAGGAGACAGGUGGUGCAUGGUUGUCGUCAGCUCGUGUCGUGAGAUGUUGGGUUAAGUCCCGCAACGAGCGCAACCCUUAUGGUCAGUUACUACGCAAGAGGACUCUGGCCAGACUGCCGUUGACAAAACGGAGGAAGGUGGGGAUGACGUCAAAUCAUCAUGCCCUUUAUGACUUGGGCUACACACGUACUACAAUGGCGUUAAACAAAGAGAAGCAAGACCGCGAGGUGGAGCAAAACUCAGAAACAACGUCCCAGUUCGGACUGCAGGCUGCAACUCGCCUGCACGAAGUCGGAAUUGCUAGUAAUCGUGGAUCAGCAUGCCACGGUGAAUACGUUCCC
RNAcentral lists this ribosomal RNA (997 nucleotides) under uncultured bacterium. Its description in RNAcentral is "bacterial SSU rRNA". It matches the Rfam family "Bacterial small subunit ribosomal RNA", at positions 355 to 1375 of the family's 1533-position model. The record is from RNAcentral.